This 549-nucleotide ribosomal RNA is filed under the name uncultured bacterium. RNAcentral's name for it is "bacterial SSU rRNA". It matches the Rfam family "Bacterial small subunit ribosomal RNA", at positions 40 to 507 of the family's 1533-position model. The record is from RNAcentral.
CGGCGUGCCUAACACAUGCAAGUCGAACGGGCUAGUGCUUCGCACUAGUCUCUUUCUGGGGUUGUUACUCUAAGGCUACCUGCUAAAGUUAUUGCUUUAAAGCAGGGGUUUUAGGAGACUUUCCCCGAAAGGGGCCAGUGCGGAGCACUGGCCAGUGGCGAACGGGUGAGUAACACGUGGGUAAUCUACCCUCGAGUGGGGAAUAAGCUUCCGAAAGGGGGUCUAAUGCCGCAUAACGUUUCAUAACGAUGGUUAUGAAACCAAAGCCCAAAAGGCGCUCGAGGAGGAGCCUGCGUCCUAUCAGCUUGUUGGCAGGGUAAUGGCCUACCAAGGCUAUGACGGGUAGCCGGCCUGAGAGGGUGUCCGGCCACACUGGAACUGAGACACGGUCCAGACUCCUACGGGAGGCAGCAGUGGGGAAUUUUGCGCAAUGGGGGAAACCCUGACGCAGCGACGCCGCGUGAGGGAAGACGGCCUUCGGGUUGUAAACCUCUUUUGUACGGGAAGAUAAUGACGGUACUGUACGAAUAAGUCCCGGCUAACUACGUG